UCCUUCCCCCAUGCCCCCGUUGUAUAUGGCCAUGAGGUUUCUGGUACCUCUACAACAGACACGCAACAAGCAGGUGGUUUGGUUUUGCGGCACAGGGAGGCUCUUACAGGCUGUUUGCUCUUAACGUGCUCUGAUCUUGCAGCUGCGCCCAAGACAUGAAACUGCCUGUUAGUGCCUGGACCUCCCAACACAGCUGAGCAUGUGUUCUCCUGCCUUCUCAUGCAGGGCGAACCAGGCUAUGUCCUGGGAGGAGUGGAGGUGAUUCCCAGGCGGAACGGGCAACCUGGCCCUCCUGGACAGAAAGGGCAGCCAGGGGUUCCUGGCGUAACAGGACCACCAGGUUUACCAGGGCCACAGGGGCCACCGGGGAUGUCCAUCAAGGGCGAACCAGGGGAUUCAGGUAUCAGGGGUCCUCGCGGGAGGAAUGGCCUCAAGGGUGACAAAGGAGGCGUGGGAGAGCCGGUGAGUUAUCUGCUGAUGGCCAGUCACUAAGGGAGAGCCACAGGCCGCUGCCAGGGAUGGGAAAGUGCCGUUGACCUUGGCACGCCAGCUUCCGAGCUGUCU
This 564-nucleotide long non-coding RNA is filed under the name Struthio camelus australis. Its description in RNAcentral is "lncRNA (ENSSCUG00000011703.1)". The record is from RNAcentral. Lineage: Eukaryota; Metazoa; Chordata; Aves; Struthioniformes; Struthionidae.